RNAcentral lists this ribosomal RNA (497 nucleotides) under uncultured bacterium. RNAcentral describes it as "partial 16S ribosomal RNA". It matches the Rfam family "Bacterial small subunit ribosomal RNA", at positions 29 to 507 of the family's 1533-position model. The record is from RNAcentral.
UAUGAACGCUGGCGGCGUGCCUAAUACAUGCAAGUCGAGCGAACAGACGAGGAGCUUGCUCCUCUGACGUUAGCGGCGGACGGGUGAGUAACACGUGGAUAACCUACCUAUAAGACUGGGAUAAAUUCGGGAAACCGGAGCUAAUACCGGAUAAUAUAUUGAACCGCAUGGUUCAAUAGUGAAAGACGGUUUUGCUGUCACUUAUAGAUGGAUCCGCGCCGCAUUAGCUAGUUGGUAAGGUAACGGCUUACCAAGGCGACGAUGCGUAGCCGACCUGAGAUGGUGAUCGGCCACACUGGAACUGAGACACGGUCCAGACUCCUACGGGAGGCAGCAGUAGGGAAUCUUCCGCAAUGGGCGAAAGCCUGACGGAGCAACGCCGCGUGAGUGAUGAAGGUCUUCGGAUCGUAAAACUCUGUUAUUAGGGAAGAACAAAUGUGUAAGUAACUAUGCACGUCUUGACGGUACCUAAUCAGAAAGCCACGGCUAACUACGUG